AAUUCUCAACCAUACGGGUUUUUACAACUCGUAUGGCUUGGAUUAUGGGAUUUUGCGGGCUUUCAUUAGUCGGCUGUCCUUAAAUGUAUUAGCAGAGCUUUCGUUGCUAAUCUCUGGUGUGAUAAUUAUCUACGCCAUUGAGAAGUGACUUAUCGAAGUGCUGCUUCUAAUCGUCUUCACAGACAACUUUUGACA
This 195-nucleotide unclassified non-coding RNA is filed under the name uncultured Clitopilus. Its description in RNAcentral is "sequence contains ITS2". Lineage: Eukaryota; Fungi; Basidiomycota; Agaricomycetes; Agaricales; Entolomataceae. The record is from RNAcentral.